Molecule: non-coding RNA, 95 nt
Organism: Hypoxylon sp. FL1284
Lineage: Eukaryota; Fungi; Ascomycota; Sordariomycetes; Xylariales; Hypoxylaceae
Source: the annotation of a GenBank genome assembly
ACCAUUGUCGUCCAGCGGUUUAGGAUGCCAGGCUUUCAAAUAAUAUGCGAACGUUGAAUCCCCGGGAGACCGGGGUUCGAACCCCCGCAAUGGUA